This 459-nucleotide ribosomal RNA is filed under the name uncultured bacterium. RNAcentral's name for it is "partial 16S ribosomal RNA". It matches the Rfam family "Bacterial small subunit ribosomal RNA", at positions 338 to 795 of the family's 1533-position model. The record is from RNAcentral.
CCUACGGGUGGCAGCAGUGGGGGAUAUUGCACAAUGGGGGAAACCCUGAUGCAGCGACGCCGCGUGUGGGAAGACGGUCUUCUGGAUUGUAAACCUCUUUUGUCGGAGAACAAAACCCGGGACGUGUCCCGGACUGCGUGUAUCCGAAGAAAAAGCAUCGGCUAACUCCGUGCCAGCAGCCGCGGUAAUACGGGGGAUGCGAGCGUUAUCAGGAUUUAUUGGGUUUAAUGGGUGCGUAGGCGGUCCGUUAAGUCAGCGGUAAAAUUGUGGGGCUCAACCCCGUCGAGCCGUUGAAACUGGCAGACUUGAGUUGGCGAGAAGUACGCGGAAUGCGCGGUGGAGCGGUGAAAUGCAUAGAUAUCGCGCAGAACUCCGAUUGCGAAGGCAGCGUACCGGCGCCAGACUGACGCUGAGGCACGAAAGCGUGGGGAUCGAACAGGAUUAGAUACCCUGGUAGUC